CCUACGGGAGGCAGCAGUGGGGAAUAUUGCGCAAUGGGCGAAAGCCUGACGCAGCGACGCCGCGUGCGGGAUGAAGGUCUUCGGAUCGUAAACCUCUGUCAGCAGGGAAGAACGGUCACUGUGCUAAUCAGCAGUGAAUUGACGGUACCUGCAAAGGAAGCACCGGCUAACUCCGUGCCAGCAGCCGCGGUAAUACGGAGGGUGCGAGCGUUAAUCGGAAUUACUGGGCGUAAAGCGCUCGUAGGCGGUAUGUCAAGUCAAGGGUGAAAUCCCCGCGCUCAACGUGGGAACUGCCUUGGAAACUGGCAAACUGGAGUGUGUGAGAGGAUAGUGGAAUGCCAGGUGUAGGAGUGAAAUGCGUAGAUAUCUGGAGGAACAUCAGUGGCGAAGGCGACUAUCUGGCACAUAACUGACGCUGAGGAGCGAAAGCGUGGGUAGCAAACAGGAUUAGAUACCCUGGUAGUC
RNAcentral lists this ribosomal RNA (465 nucleotides) under uncultured bacterium. RNAcentral describes it as "partial 16S ribosomal RNA". It matches the Rfam family "Bacterial small subunit ribosomal RNA", at positions 338 to 795 of the family's 1533-position model. The record is from RNAcentral.